Long non-coding RNA from Arachis stenosperma, 1595 nucleotides. RefSeq lists it as uncharacterized. The record is from RefSeq and is a predicted model, not a curated record. Lineage: Eukaryota; Viridiplantae; Streptophyta; Magnoliopsida; Fabales; Fabaceae. The transcript is spliced from 3 exons.
UUAUGCCUUAUUGGCUUAUUCUUGGUUAUUUUGGAUGGUAUAUGGGCACAUCUAUAGAAGUGUAAACUGUAAAAGAAACUAUAGAACACAUAUUGCUAACAUUAGGAAUAAUAUUUUAAAUGAUUUAUUGUGAAUCAAAUUGAUCUCUUAUCUUAAAGCAUGCUAUUGGUAAACUUUUGAUAUUGAAAAAGGAACUUUCUUCAAUUCAAGAAUUAAAUCACAUGUGCAGUUGUUCCACAUUAAAUAUUGAUUUUUGCUUUGAGAUAUAGCAUUUGGUUAGUCUUAGAAGUUUUUUGCUUUUAAUCACUUUUGAUGUCACCAUUUGACUAAAUUGGAAAUCUCUUGAUUUUGCCUAACUAUAAACUAUGAAUUUUAUGAUUGACGUGAAAAAAACUUCCUAACUUAACAAUUUGCUACUUUUCUUGGGGAUGUUAUAAGAAUGAGAAACGUGUAACACUUUGGAUAAUAUAUGGGCAGAACAGCUAUAGAGAAGUAAAAAUUUAUUUCCUUUCAAUAAAUUUACAAAGUUGAAUCUUUGGAUGAUGUAGCUUCUGAAUAUAUUACAAGCUAAUUAUAACUAUCAGCAAUGAAUGGUUGGGCAUACCAUAGACUUAUUCUUCAUUUCUUAAUGGAGAUUUGUAAUGCAGAUUUCUAAAAUGGUGCAAUUCUCUUGGAGAAUUCCCAUACUUUGAUUCUUGAUUAGGUUAAAAGAAAUCAUGCUUUCAUGUUCAGCUCUGUAAAGAAGGUAAUGAAUACUGCAAUGCAUCAAAAUGGAAAAUGGACAUCAGCUCCAAGAGUUCUCAAAGGCAAAUUUGACUGUCUUUUAUUUGGUGUGAUGUGUGGCUCCUAUUUUCUGCUAAUAAGAGGUCAUAUCAGACAUUCAUAAGUACUCAAUGAAAUUGACUCCAGAAUUUCAUAUUCUGAUUCGGAUUUCUAAAGCUAUAAGGGACCCUAACGCUAUAGCAAUGACAUCAGGUAACAAUUUAGAUCUUUGGAAUGGUGUUGCAUUCAAGUGGUAUUUUGUUAUUUAUUUAUUAUUUUUUACACUAUUAUGUUGGAAAACAAUUCCCCUUAAAAUACAGUUUAAUAUAUCAUAGCCAAUACUAAAAAAGUAUUUGGUGUUCUUAUUUAAGAUUAGUAUUUCUUCGUGCAUAGAUUACUUUUUGGUGAAGAAAAAUGUAUUAACAUGGUUUUUAACUUAUGGAUCAUAUAUGGUUAAUGAUUUACUUGCCAUUAGCACAAUUUAACUCGUUUGAGACUUGAAUAUUUAUUAGGAUGACUCUAAUUGGUCCGUUGAAUUCCAGUCAGAGUUACUCAGAUGAAAGAAAAAAUGAUAGUGGACUUUGUUGUUUGUUUGGCUUUAAGCAACAAUGAAGAGGACUAAGGUUUGAAAAUCUGAUUUUGUAGAAUUUUAGUAAAAUGAAACUGGGUAGAUUAUAUUUUUAGGAAGAUCAAACAUAGGACAAAAUUUAAAGAAAGAAUAAAACAUCAGAUUUUAAGGACAUAAAAAAUGCCUUCUUAUUUACAUCAUAUGUGCAGAGUAUGCUAGAAAUGUUCAGAACAUGGAAUCUGGGAGGAGACAAUCAUCAUAAGUA